ACCUCACCCGCGCUCUCGUCUCCUCCUCUCUCUCAGUUUCUGGCUCAUAGCGCCAUCAGCGCCACAUCCGAAAGCAGACGAACUUUCCCUCUGCACGAGCGCGUCCACGCAACGAAUUUAUUUGGUCCGAAUGUCGCCUCCACAGCGAUGGAACAGAACUGAAGAUCUAAAUGGAGACAGUAUCCUCCCCAUGCUGUUUAAAUAUUCUGCGGUUAUUCGUGAUUGGUUUAUUCGUUAAAUGGGUUUAGCAAACCGAAAGAAACGAAGCGGCCUCGAGCGGGGCGCGCUGAGUCAGCUGGUACGCAGUUGUGCGUUGCCGAGCUGUCUGUCAAAUUACCGGGUGAUGUCCGAACAGCGCCGCGGAUGAAGCCAGGGCUGAGGAAGAGGAGGACCUCGGGCCAACCAUCGCACGUCUUCAGCGUCAUCUAAGGUCCUACCAGCUUUACUCCCGAUGCCCGCCACGGCCAUUCCUCCGUGGUAAUCGGGCAGCGGCGCUUCCAUGACGCUGGGUCAGGGAUCUACGUCAGCCAGCCUGUCGCCAGCCGAAGAUUCAUGCGGUCGAAGCGCGUCCGUCGAAGUAGUCGAAACCAGCAAGCCCGGCCCGUGCCCCUGUCGCAGCAAUGCCGUCCUUUCGCUGCACCUCAGCGAUGUCUGGGUGGCGGUAGUCAAGAGCACGACGCUGUGCGUAUUCUUGCUCGCCUACACCAUGUCGUACGCCAUGAGGCUGCUCAUCACCCAAGACCUGUUGCUCACCAAGACGUGUCGAUACCACCUCGGCCUGGAUCCGGCCCUGUGCGCCAACUUCUCAAACUUCUCCGAGACCAAGAACGUCAUCGAGAGGGUGGCCAACAACUACAGUCUCUUCAUUCUACUGGUUCAGCUGACGCCCGCCGCCAUACUCUCCAUCUUUCUGGGACCUUGGUGCGACAAGUACGGUCACCGUCUGCCCAUCUUCGUAGCGACAGUAGGCGGCAUCCUGCAAGACCUCGGUACCAUCUACACCGUAGUGGACAUGGAAGCCCCGAUGUACGCGAACGUGCUAUGCAGCCUUCCCAACGGCCUCAGCGGUGGCCUAGUGUGCGUCUUCAUGGCCGUCUGCAGCAACGCCUCCAUGUCCACAAAGGGCAAUACGCGAACGCUGCAGUUCCUCAUCGUUCUCAUGUCCGCCAUGAUCGGCAUGGCCUGCGGCCAGUUCAUGGCCGGACAGAUCUUCAGGGCCGGUGGCUACCUUCCAGUCUUCAUCGUGUCCGCCAGCAUGCUUCUGGCUUGCCUGGUCUGGAUAAUGGCCAUGCUGAAGAAUCCCGUCGAAUCGGAAAAAAGUGGCUGGCGGACCAUGCUCAGGGACCUGUUGCAUUUUCGGAACUUCAUCAACGGCAUCCUCGUCUGCGUGAGGAAGAGGCCCAACAGGGGCCGCGCCCAGAUACUCCUCCUCAUGUCCUCCAUGUGCGUCAUUCUGUUCGUGUCCGAGGGCACCCGCGGCAUCAACUUCUUCUACGCGAAGAAGAUGUACGACUGGGACGUGAGCAAGUACUCGGACAUCAAUUCGUGUUUCCUGCUCUUUCGGAUGGUGAGCGUCUCGUUUUUUGUGAUUGUGGCCAACCUGGCCCUGCGCCUGUCUGACUGUACCAUAGCGUUCAUCGGGAUCUGCGGAGGCAUCCUCCAGAGCAUCGCUACGGGCGUGGCCAACAACGAAGUUCUGUUCUAUGCUACAUCUUGGGAACGCUAGACGCCUCUGCACCCAUCGGCAUCAAAUCGCACGCUUCGAAACUUCUUGACCGGGACGAAACCACCCAGGUGUUUUCCGUGUGGAUCGCCAUGGAGGCCCUGACGCCGAUCGUGGGCUACGUGUUCGGCUCCCAGGUCUACAACGCCUGCAUC
This 1878-nucleotide unclassified non-coding RNA is filed under the name Ixodes scapularis (black-legged tick). RNAcentral describes it as "uncharacterized LOC8051037, transcript variant X3". The record is from RNAcentral. Lineage: Eukaryota; Metazoa; Arthropoda; Arachnida; Ixodida; Ixodidae.